This 329-nucleotide unclassified non-coding RNA is filed under the name soil metagenome. Its description in RNAcentral is "partial contains 5.8S ribosomal RNA, internal transcribed spacer 2, and large subunit ribosomal RNA". The stretch from base 1 to 120 matches the Rfam family "5.8S ribosomal RNA", at positions 35 to 154 of the family's 154-position model. The record is from RNAcentral.
GAUGAAGAACGCAGCGAAAUGCGAUAAGUAGUGUGAAUUGCAGAAUUCAGUGAAUCAUCGAAUCUUUGAACGCACAUUGCGCCCCUUGGUAUCCCGAGGGGCAUGCCUGUUCGAGCGUCAUUAUAACCCCUCAAGCUCAGCUUGGUGUUGGGGCCUGCUGCACUGGCAGCCCUUAAAAUCAGUGGCGGCGCCAUCUGGCUCUAAGCGUAGUAAUUCUUCUCGCUAUGGAGUCCUGGUGGAUGCUUGCCAUCAACCCCCAAUUUUUCUAUGGUUGACCUCGGAUCAGGUAGGGAUACCCGCUGAACUUAAGCAUAUCAAUAAGCGGAGGA